This 492-nucleotide ribosomal RNA is filed under the name uncultured bacterium. RNAcentral describes it as "partial 16S ribosomal RNA". It matches the Rfam family "Bacterial small subunit ribosomal RNA", at positions 29 to 507 of the family's 1533-position model. The record is from RNAcentral.
AGUGAACGCUGGCGGUAGGCCUAACACAUGCAAGUCGAACGGCAGCACAGUAAGAGCUUGCUCUUACGGGUGGCGAGUGGCGGACGGGUGAGGAAUACAUCGGAAUCUACUUUUUCGUGGGGGAUAACGUAGGGAAACUUACGCUAAUACCGCAUACGACCUACGGGUGAAAGCAGGGGAUCUUCGGACCUUGCGCGAUUGAAUGAGCCGAUGUCGGAUUAGCUAGUUGGCGGGGUAAAGGCCCACCAAGGCGACGAUCCGUAGCUGGUCUGAGAGGAUGGUCAGCCACACUGGAACUGAGACACGGUCCAGACUCCUACGGGAGGCAGCAGUGGGGAAUAUUGGACAAUGGGCGCAAGCCUGAUCCAGCCAUACCGCGUGGGUGAAGAAGGCCUUCGGGUUGUAAAGCCCUCUUGUUGGGAAAGAAAAGCAGCAGGUUAAUACCCCGCUGUUCUGACGGUACCCAAAGAAUAAGCACCGGCUAACUUCGUG